RNAcentral lists this ribosomal RNA (566 nucleotides) under Gibsmithia dotyi. Its description in RNAcentral is "eukaryotic LSU rRNA". It matches the Rfam family "Eukaryotic large subunit ribosomal RNA", at positions 364 to 1011 of the family's 3401-position model. Lineage: Eukaryota; Rhodophyta; Florideophyceae; Gigartinales; Dumontiaceae. The record is from RNAcentral.
AUGGAAAGCACUUUGAAAAGAGGGUGAAAAGUACCUGAAACUGCCACGGGGGAAGCGGAUUGCGUGAGUGUUUGUCUACUGGUGUUCAGCUCUCGUAGUGUAUUCACCAUAGGCUGUGUUGGCAUGGCUGUUUGGCUUUGGAUUUUGCAAAGCUGGAUGGUGAGGGAUCCCUGCAAAGGUUGAGGAUGUCAACAAAAUAACGCGACCCGACCCGUCUUGAAACACGGACCAAGGAGUCUAGCACUACUGCGAGUCGAAAGGUUAUUAAACCUAGAGGCAAAGUGAAAGCGAAUAUAGGGAAAUCGAAAACAGAUUAGGGAGGUGUUGCGACAAUGUCAAAGUAUCCUACCCUGAGCAGUUGUGCUGGGACCCGAAAGAUGGUGAACUAUGCCGGAAUAGGGCAAAGCCAGAGGAAACUCUGGUGGAGGCUCGUAGCGAUGCUGACGUGCAAAUCGCUCGUCGAAUUUGGGUAUAGGGGCGAAAGACUAAUCGAACCAUCUAGUAGCUGGUUCCCUCCGAAGUUUCUCUCAGGAUAGCGGGCCGACGAUGUGUGUGUUGUUUUGUGU